GAAUCUUCCGCAAUGGACGAAAGUCUGACGGAGCAACGCCGCGUGAGUGAUGAAGGUUUUCGGAUCGUAAAACUCUGUUGUUAGGGAAGAACAAGUAUCGUUCGAAUAGGGCGGUACCUUGACGGUACCUAACCAGAAAGCCACGGCUAACUACGUGCCAGCAGCCGCGGUAAUACGUAGGUGGCAAGCGUUGUCCGGAAUUAUUGGGCGUAAAGCGCGCGCAGGCGGUUUCUUAAGUCUGAUGUGAAAUCUUGCGGCUCAACCGCAAGCGGCCAUUGGAAACUGGGAGACUUGAGUGCAGAAGAGGAGAGUGGAAUUCCACGUGUAGCGGUGAAAUGCGUAGAGAUGUGGAGGAACACCAGUGGCGAAGGCGACUCUCUGGUCUGUAACUGACGCUGAGGCGCGAAAGCGUGGGGAGCGAACAGGAUUAGAUA
RNAcentral lists this ribosomal RNA (434 nucleotides) under Alkalihalobacillus sp. Its description in RNAcentral is "bacterial SSU rRNA". It matches the Rfam family "Bacterial small subunit ribosomal RNA", at positions 359 to 784 of the family's 1533-position model. Lineage: Bacteria; Bacillati; Bacillota; Bacilli; Caryophanales; Bacillaceae. The record is from RNAcentral.